UCCCUCAUCUCCUGCUUCUUUCUUGCCAUCAGAACCUCCUUCCGCAACCCACUCACCAGUUGGCUCGAAAUGCCUUUCCUCUAUGUCUACAUAUUCUCCCAGUGGACCUGCCUCGAUUUUUGCUAUUGGGCCAUAUGCUCAUGAACCUCAACUGGUAUCUCCACCUGUAUUCUCUACAUUCACCACUGAACCAUCAACUGCUCCGUUUACCCCUCCACCUGAGUCAGUCCACUUGACUACACCCUCAUCGCCUGAGGUACCAUUUGCUAAGCUUCUUGACCCCAAUCACCAAAAUGUUGAUGCUGGUAAUAGAUUUCCUUUUGCUCAGUAUGAAUUUCAAUCAUAUCAACUUCAACCAGGGAGUCCAGUCAGCAAUUUGAUAUCGCCUGGGUCAGCCAUUUCUGUAUCUGGAACCUCAUCUCCGUUUCUUGACAGUGAGUCUAAUCCUGGACGCCCUCAGUUCCUGAACCUGGAGAAGAUAGCCCCUCACGAAUGGGGAUCACGGCAAGGAUCUGGGACUUUGACCCCUGAUGCAGUAUACCCCAAGUAUCAUGACAGUUUCCUUCUCAAUCAUCAGAACUCUGGUGUUCCUCGUCUUUUGAAGCCGCUUAAUGGGUGGAAAA
Molecule: long non-coding RNA, 623 nt
Filed under: Nicotiana tabacum (common tobacco)
Lineage: Eukaryota; Viridiplantae; Streptophyta; Magnoliopsida; Solanales; Solanaceae
Description: long non-coding RNA (NTAB_LNC009625)
Source: RNAcentral